RNAcentral lists this long non-coding RNA (1481 nucleotides) under Podarcis lilfordi (Lilford's wall lizard). Lineage: Eukaryota; Metazoa; Chordata; Lepidosauria; Squamata; Lacertidae. The record is from RNAcentral.
GGCAAAUUCAUGAAAAAUGCGUCUAUUAAUGGCUGUUAAAAUGCAACCUCCAUUAUCAGAGACCCUAGAACUCUGAUUGCUUGAAGUUGGGGAUAAGCAAUAGGGCAGGCGUGUCCAAAGUCUGUUUCGGGGGCCUAAUCCUGCCCGCAGGUCGGUUUAAUCCGGCCCCUGUGGAAGUUUAUUUCCUGGGUAAAAUGGCCCUCUUUGGAAAAAAGUUUGGACACCACUGCAAUAGAGGAUUGCUCUCCUCAACUUGCUCUGCUGUGAACUUCUAAUUUCCAGGGUAAUAUAGUUGACAACUGUUGAAGGCAAAGAGCUAGACAGGAUGGACCUUUCACCUGAUCCAGCAUAGGCUGCUUUUAUGUGGUCAACUACAAAUCAGUACAUGCCAGUAGGGGGCUCCAAGGUUACAGGAAACAGUUGCUGCCCUCCUGCCAGAGUGCCAAAGGGUCCUUUCACAACACGGAGUAGGAGGACUCCAAAUACUGAAGACUUCGGAGGGACACAGGGGGCACCAUAUGCUUAAGAGCCAUUAUGUGUAGCCUAGCAACAUUCCUCUGUGAAACAACAGCCUCUGCACCCCGCCAUCACACCAGAAUCCUGAUUUAACUUUCGAAAAUGUUAUAAACCCAUGCUGCUGAUGUUUAUCAUUUUUACUGUGCUUAACAAGUGUUGAAAGAGCUUUGCAUUCUCUGUCUCAAGGACAGGUUACAAGUCGUAUGUCACUCAGUUCUGCUGUUGCUGCUCUUCUUCUUUAUAAACAAAACACAGCUUCCAAAGGAGGGCAUUUGAGUGGAGAAGUGGCUUGGGGCUGUGCUUUACACUUCCGCUAUCCCACAGACUCUCUGCUUCAAAUGGAAGAACCCCCAUUUAGACUCAUUUUGAACCUUCUGGGGAACCAACCCUCAAGGAGAGAAAUUUGGAGUUGAGAGGCUGCAGGCAGGGUGAGUGUGGGUCCCGCCCCCUAGGCCAACACCAACACCCCUCCCACUGCUUCUGUGAUCAAAACCACCCCACCUGAAUCUGUUUUUCUUUUGGGAAGAAUGGAACAGGGGAACAGUUACCAGUAUUUGCAUGUAAUGUCUCAUAAAGGCAUAUCUCAGCAGUAACAUCUUAAUAACCCUCAACGUGGGUCUAUUAUACCUGCAGGUAGUCAUGGAACAGGAACCCUCCUUCCUUGGAUUCCAAAGCAGACUCACCUGAUUUGACCUGAAGGAGCGUCUCCACCCCCAUCGUUCAGCCCAAACACUGAGGUCCAGCGCCGAGGGCCUUCUGGUGGUUGCCUCCCUGCAAGAAGUGAAGCUACAAGGAACAUGGCAGGGCCUUCUCGGUAGUGGCGCCUGCCCUGUGGAACGCCCUUCCACCAGAUGUCAAAGAGAAAAACAACUACUUUUAGAAGACAUCUGAAGGCAGCCCUGUUUAGGGAGGCUUUUAAUGUUCAACAGACUAUUGUAUCUUAAUAUUUUGUUGGAAGCAGCCCA